GCCCCCUUAGCUCAGCGGUCAGCGUUUGUCUUUGUCUUUUCUUAUAAUAGCGUAUUAUUGUUAUCCAGCGUAUUGUGGUUUAAGACCAAGCGAAAGACGUCGGUUCGAAUCCGACCGGUGGCA
Non-coding RNA from Podospora fimiseda, 123 nucleotides. Lineage: Eukaryota; Fungi; Ascomycota; Sordariomycetes; Sordariales; Podosporaceae. The record is from the annotation of a GenBank genome assembly.